GCGUUGAUGGUUCAGUGGUAGAAGUCUCACCUUCCACGUGGGAGACCUGAGUUCCGUUCCUGGUCAGCGCA
This 71-nucleotide transfer RNA is filed under the name Loxodonta africana (African savanna elephant). It matches the Rfam family "tRNA". Rfam says of the family: Transfer RNA (tRNA) molecules are approximately 80 nucleotides in length. Their secondary structure includes four short double-helical elements and three loops (D, anti-codon, and T loops). Further hydrogen bonds mediate the characteristic L-shaped molecular structure. tRNAs have two regions of fundamental functional importance: the anti-codon, which is responsible for specific mRNA codon recognition, and the 3' end, to which the tRNAs corresponding amino acid is attached (by aminoacyl-tRNA synthetases). tRNAs cope with the degeneracy of the genetic code in two manners: having more than one tRNA (with a specific anti-codon) for a particular amino acid; and 'wobble' base-pairing, i.e. permitting non-standard base-pairing at the 3rd anti-codon position. The record is from Rfam by way of RNAcentral. Lineage: Eukaryota; Metazoa; Chordata; Mammalia; Proboscidea; Elephantidae.